AGGGUGAUUGCAUUAGUAUCCACGAAUAUGUUGCAUUGCAUAGUUAGUUGUUGAUGUGGGUAAAUGCUGAAUGAUCCAAUAGUCUCAGACAGGAAGUCCAGGAGCCUUUGACUAUGCCCUGGCAGGUAUAGAGAAGUCCAGGAGCCUUUGACUACGCCCUGGCAGGUAUAGUAAAGACCAGGAGCCUUUGACUACGCCCUGGCAAUGGUCAGUACAAAGGUGUUAUAUACACAUAUACAUAUAUGACAGGAAGACCAGGUGCUCGAUUCUACGCCCUGGCACAGAGUUACUGGGACUAUGUGGGGACAGGUUUACUCUUGAUGUGGUUUAUCUGUGUUAUGACGCAUUCCAUGAGAUCAUAUUUUAAUGAAUUGUUUUACUGUUCUACUCACUGGGCUAUAGAGCUCAUCCCACUCCCUUAACCCCAGUUUUGCAGGUUCAGUGUACAGUGUACAGGGACAGUCCAGCAGAGUAUAGAAAGAGUAAAGAGAUUUGUAAUAGCUUAGAGUGGACAUGUAAUAUUAAAGAGAUGUAAUAGUUGUGUAUAAAGUUAGAAAUGUGCUUGACUUAGUGAUGUAUGUGGUGUACAUGAUCUGGAGAUGUAAAUAUGUUUUACUGUAUGUGAAAUACCAGGCUUAACAGGUAUGAGUGACCCAUCUAGAGUAAGCUCUAGUCAGGGGUACAGAGUACAGAGUACAGAGUACAGAGAUAGUGCAUGCACAGGUUAAGCCUUGGUACAGAGAAAAGAGUUUUUAUUUUGUCACAGAAAAUGUAUGAUCAUGUAUGAGUUUUACAGGUACACAGAGAGUAUAGCAGGCUUGCUACGGGUUCUGGCGGCCUUAAGCCGACCUGAAUCCUAGCUCCGGUGACGGUCCAUUUUGGGGUCGUUACACUUCUCUCCCACUUCUUCCCAGCAAACAGGUGAUCUGCACUUCCUCCCAUACAAAGCUUCAUAAGGAGCCAUCCCGAUGCUAGCAUGAUGGCUGUUAUUGUAGCCAAACUCCACCAAAGGUAGAUGCUGCCUCCAAGAACCGCCAAAAUCUAACACACACAUUCUGAGCAUAUUCUCUAUGGUUUGGAUGGUCCUCUCUGACUGUCCGUCAGUCUGUGGAUGGAAAGCAGUGCUAAAAUCCAACCUUGUGCCUAUAGCACUCUGCCAAAAUCUGGAGGUGAACUGGGGUCCUCUAUCUGACACUAUAGACACUGGAACCCCAUGCAACUUUACUAUCUCUUCCACAUAAACCUGUGAUAACUUGUCUACAGAAUAAUUACUCCUAACCGGGAUGAAGUGAGCAGAUUUAGUCAGUCUGUCCACGAUCACCCAUAUGGAGUCUAGUCUGUUGGACACUGCCGGUAAGCCCACCACAAAAUCCAUGGCUAUGUUCUCCCAUUUUCACUCUGGAAUCGGUAGUGGGUUAAGCAUUCCAGUCGGCUUUUGAUGUUCCAGUUUCACCCUCUGACAAACCUCACAGGCGGACGCAAACUGCGCCACUUCUUUCUUCAUAGCUGGCCACCAAUAUACUCUUUUCAAAUCCUGAUACAUCUUGGUGGCUCCAGGGUGAACACUGUACUUGGCAUUAUGAGCUUCCCUCAUACCGUCUCCUUUCAGACUUAUGUCAUCUGGUACACAUAGUCGGUUGCCAUAGCGGAGGAUCCCUUUGCUGUCAAAUCUGAACUCUGCACUGUUGCCUGACUGAACAGUCCUGGCAAUUUUCACUAACUCAGGGUCCUCAUGCUGUUUCUGAGCUACCUGCUCCAGAAAUACGGGUGUCACCCUCAUCUGUGCUAUCAACGCACCGGUACCAGACAACUCUAGCUGUAGCCCUUCAUCGAUGAGCUUAUAAAACUCCAUCACCACUGGUCUUCUCUCUGCUGCUAUAUGGGACAAACUGCCAAGUGAUUUCCGGCUUAGGGCGUCUGCCACAACAUUCACCUUACCCGGAUGAUACUGAAUCCUGCAAUCAUAGUCACUGAGCAGUUCUACCCAUCUUCUCUGCCUCAAAUUCAGCUCUUUCUGACUCAAGAUGUAUUGUAAAUUUUGUGAUCUGUAAAGAUCUCGCAUUUAACCCCAUAAAGGUAAUGCCUCCACAUCUUGAGUGCAAAGAUAACUGCCGCCAUCUCUAGGUCAUGUGUGGGGUAAUUCAACUCAUACUUCUUCAACUGUCUAGAAGCAUAAGCAAUCACCCUGUCGUUCUGCAUCAAAACACAACCCAGUCCCACUCGGGACGCAUCACAGAACACUGUGAAGUCCUCAUUAUUGACUGGCAGAGCUAACACCGGUGCUGAUGUUAAUAUUCUCUUUAGCUCUUCAAAGCUCUCUUCACAUUGGUCCGACCACACGAACCUCUGGUUCUUCUUUAUCAGUUUGGUCAUAGGAGCAGCAAUCUUUGAGAAGUCCUGAAUGAACCUCCGGUAGUAACCUGCCAAACCCAAAAAGCUUUUAAUCUCUGUCACUGUAGUGGGUCUGGGCCAAUUAGCUACCGCCUCUAUCUUCUUGGGGUCUACUUUAAUACCCUCUGCUGAUACUACAUGCCCCAAGAAUGAAAUGCUCCUCAACCAGAACUCACACUUAGAGAACUUGGCAUACAAGCCAUGCUCUCUCAGGGUCUGCAGAACUGUCCUCAGAUGAUGGGCAUGCUCCUCUGUAUCUCUGGAAUAUACUAAGAUAUCAUCGAUGAAGACAAUAACAAAGUGAUCCAGAUACUGGCUAAACACUUUGUUCAUGAGGUCCAUGAAUGCUGCAGGGGCAUUAGUCAACCCGAACGGCAUUACUAAGAACUCAUAAUGCCCAUAUCUGGUCCUGAACGCUGUCUUUGGCACAUCUACUUCUCUAACUCUCAGUUGAUGAUACUCGAAUCUCAGAUCUAUUUUAGAAAAACAACCUGCUCCAGCUAGCUGGUCAAAUAGAUCGUCGAUCCUAGGCAGGGGAUACUUAUUCUUGGUAGUGACCUUGUUCAACUGCCUGUAGUCGAUACAAAGUCUGAGGGAUCCAUCCUUCUUUCUGACAAACAGCACUGGAGCAACCCAAGUUGAGGUACUAGGGCGGAUGAAACCCUUAUCUACCAACUCUUGCAACUGCUCUUUCAGCUCUUUUAACUCUGCUGGUGCCAUCCUGUAGGGAGGGAUAGAGAUCGGUCUGGUACCAGGCAGCAAUUCUAUUUCAAACUCUAUCUCCCUAUUAGGUGGUAGUCCUGGAAGUUCGUCUGGGAAGACGUCUGGAAAUUCUCUGACUACUGGUACUGAGGCGGGUUCCCUAACCUGUCGAUCUAGCUCUCUCACAUGAGCUAGAAACCCCUGACACCCCCUCCUGAGCAGCCUACAAGCCUGAAGGGCUGAUAUCAAACCUCUAGGUGUACCCCUCCUGUCUCCUCUGAAGACACACUCUAACCCAUCCUAGUCCCUGAGACUAACUACCUUGUCUCUGCAGUUCAAGGUAGCUCCAUGUGUAGAUAGCCAAUCCAUCCCUAGAAUGACAUCAAAAUCUGUCAAAUCUAGAACCACAAGGUCAGCUGGAAGGCAUCUACCCUCUAUGAACACUGGACUGAAAUGACAGACUGACUCUGCCAAAGAUGGGUCACAUUUGGGUCAACUGACCCAGAGAGGACACUCUAACUUAGAGACUAUCAGACCCAAUUUCUCCACAGCUCUCGAAGCAAUAAAAGAGUGAGAAGCACCGGGGUCCAUCAAAGCAUACACCUUAGAACACCCAAUGAUGAGAUUACCUGACACCACUGUGUUCGACGUGUCUGCCUCCAGCUGUGUCAGGGUGAAGAUCCGUGCCGGAGCUGAUGAACCUUGUAAUACCCGGCUAGACUCCGGUAUCGAAAUUCCUACCGACCGGUGGAAUCUCGGAUGUCGAAAACCUCUAGAAGAGUAAAAUCAUGUUUUCAUAAAAUGUUUUAAUGUAUUUUAUGAUUUUAAGUAAGAAAGAAAUUGAGUUUUGAAUGAAAAAGACCAUAGAGGCAUUUCCAGGUUUGGCCGCCGAAUCUCAAGUUCGGCCAUCGAACAUGGGAUAGUUUAGGAGGGCAAGUUAGGCUUCCGAAAGUGGCUUAGGUUCGGCCGCCGAACUUGCAUGAGUUUUGGAGGCACUUUAGGCUUCCGAACGUGGUCUGGACAGCCCCUAUAAAAGGGCUCCAUGGCCGAAACGGGCGAGCUUUCUCCCCAUUUUCGGCCAACGGUGAGUCCAUGUUCUCCCAUGGUUGGUUUUGUUGAUUUUCCUCCAAUCUUUCGAGUUUUAACUAAUUUUAUCUUGGUUUGAAGAUAUUUGAGCAAAAAGAGCAAGUUUUGGAGUUUGGAGACCUAAAGAGUGAGAUUUCUCCCAUCUCCGAGUUGGAUCGCCUCUCCUCUCGAUCUCCAAGAGGUAAGGGUAGAUCCUUAGCUCAUUUUAUGUUUUAAACAAGUUUUAUGAAGGUUUAUGGGGUAGAAAUGCAUGUUUAGGUUAAUAUUGAGUUUUUGGUUAAUGUUGUGUUUAUGAACAAUGUGAGUUGUAUAUGUAUGUUUGAUGUGUUGUAGUUAGGGUUUAGGAUAGUUUGAAGCCCCUAGGAGCUUAUGUAUGUGUGUAUGCAUGUUAUGGAAGUGUUGGUUUUGAGUUGUUUGAUUUGGGAGGCAAAUGUGCAUUGUAGGAGGCUGAGUUCUGCCCUUUGGAAGAACUCAGGUUCGGCAGCCGAAGGGACUUUCGGCCGCCGAACCUGCCUGUGGAGGCCAGCCUUUGGCUGCCGAACCCUACCCUCGAAAGUGGACUUUCGGCUCUGGAAGGGAGUUUCGGCCGCUGAAGGUGCCGCCGAACAUGCAUGAGUUUCGUCUCUGGAAGGAACCUUCGGCCGCCGAAAGUGCCGCUGAAGGUGCAUGACUUUCGGCUCUGGAGGGACUUUUGGCCGCCGAACCCUACCGCCGAAAGUGCCUUGUUCAGCCUUCCUUUGCAUGUUUUCUAUGAUUGUUUUAAGGUGUUUUAGGGGGUUUUUAGGGAAUGUUUUAGAGUCAUGUUCAUGUAUGUUUAGUCCCUCAUUUGAGUCCUCCUGUGUAGGUUCGGACCUGAGGAACCGAGAAUCCCAGGAGUGAGACAGCUGCUUCAGUGUCUUGUCAGAGCUAGCCUGAGGUGAGUAGAAUGACUCUUUAUGUUUCAAACCAAAUAGUGAAAGGUUUACCAUAAUUCACGCAUCAUGAAUGCCAUGAGAUAUAUUAGGAUGCUUGCAUUAGAAUUCACGAAUAUGUUGCAUUGCAUAUUAUGUUAUUGAUGUGGAUGAAUGUUGGAUGAUGCCUUAGCCCGCACUAUGAUAUGAUAUGAUAUGAGAUAGUGAUGAUACGGUAUGGAAGACCAGUGAGGCCCAUUCUACGCCCCUGGCACUAUGUAAGAGAAAGACCAGUGAGGCCCAUUCUACGCCCCUGGCAUGUUGGAAUGUUAUGCUAUGUUAAUGUAAGAGAAAGACCAGUGAGGCCCAUUCUACGCCCCUGGCACUAUUGGAAUGUGUAGUGGGCUAUCGGUGACAAGUUCAUCCUUGAUGUGUUAUGUUUGUGAUGUGAUGCAUUCCAUAAUAGCAUAUGUUUUAAAUGUUUUAUUAUUCUGCUCACUGGGCUCUAGUAGCUCACCCCAUUCCCUUAAUCCCCCAGGUUUGCAGGUACGGGCUAGUCCAGGAGGUCAGCAGGAUUAGAAGCGUUUUAUGUAAUAGUUAGUUGUGUACAUGAGAAUAUUGUGAUGUAAUGUAUUGAAUAGUCAUGUAAUGUUAAGAAUUAUAUUGAGGAUAGAAUUGUGCUUGGCCCUAGUGUAUGUUAAUCCCUUUUUGAUACAUGAUCUUUUUAAUGAGAUGUUUCAUUGAUGUUUAUGUAAACCAAACUUACUGUAUGUAUGUAUGUUACCCCAUUGGAGCAUUGAUGAGGACUCCAGUGUGGGGUUGAUGUUUAUGUUUAUGAGUUGUGCAUGCACAGGUUAAGUUUGGUAAAUGAAUGAGAAGGUUCAAAAUUUUUAUGAAUAUGUUGAUCAUGUAUGGGAUUAAACAGGUAUGCAGGUGGUAUGUCAGGCUGGCUACGGGUCCCGGCGACCUUAUGCCGAUCUGGAUCCUAGCGCCGUUAGCGGUCUGAAUUCUUGGUCGUUACAGAUUGGUAUUAGAGCCCUAGGUUCAUAUGGUCGGACCUAUAGUGUGUCGGGCUCAUAGAUGUUCUAGAAGGUCAAGCACAAUAGGAAAAAUCAUGUCCACUAGGAUAGGAUGUAGAGUCCUGUCUUGAUUGAUGAUGUGAAAUGCCAUGAUUUUAUGCAUGAGCAUUGAUGAUAUGCUAUGUAUGUGAUGUAUAUGAUGCGGGUUCAUGUGUUUCCACAUGAACCAUUUGAUGCUAAUGUUUUAUGUGAUGUGUGCUGUUUUUCAGUAAGCGAGAUGAGAGGAACUCGUCGAUCUGCACGAUUGACUAGAGUCCCACCAGAAAAUGAAGGCACGGAUGCCCGUGCUCCAGCAUUGCCUAGGGCAAUAUCCUGCAGGUCUAGCAGGGAGAGAACAUCAAGGGACCCUAGAAGGUCUUUUGAUGUGAGCAGAAGGGGGACAGUUCAAGGUGGAGUGUCAGAAGAUGUGGGGGAGGAUAUGGAUGUGGAUCAGAGGAGGGAUGGCAGUCUUGGAGUGAGUAUGUCUGAAGAGGGCAUGGGAGAGUCUCAAGGAGGCACUCAGGCCUCGGGAUUUGUUCAGCCACCCCAGUACCCACCCUUUUCACAAAAUCCUGGGUAUUCGAUGGGAGGUACAUCGGAUUACCCUAGCUUUAAUCCUUACCCUUCUCAUAUGCCAUACCGACCUUUCUACCCACCAUACCCGCAGUACCCUAUGUACCCACCCCCAUCUUUCUACCCAGAUACAGCAAAUCCUACUCCGGGGAAUAUUGCACCUCCUCCACCACCAGCAGAACCGGAAACCCAAGUACCUAAACCUAGCUCAUCUGGAGGGAGCAAGGUCAAGAUGACCUAUUACAUGAAGCUGGGUGCACCCCAGUUUGAAACAGGUGAUGACUCGUUUGAGUACCUUGGGAGGGUCAAGAUGAUUACAGAUGAGAUAGGGACUGAUGAUAGUAAAGCCAUUCAGAUGGCUAGGUUCACACUGAAAUGUAAGAAGGCUCGAGAGUGGUUUAAAAACUAUGUGAACCCGAGGGUGGAUAGUCUUUCCUGGGAGGAAUUUGCUAAUGAGUUCGCUGGAUGGGCUUUCCCUGACAGUUCAAGGGAGUUGAAGAUGAUCGAAUUUGAGCAGUUGAGGCAGAUGGAGGAGAUGAGUGUGAAUGAGUACACAGACAGGUUCUUGGAACUGUUGCCAUUUGCUGGGCAAAAUCUGGACACAGAUCAGAAGAAGUCAAGGAGGUAUAUCAUGAAGCUUCAUUCCAAGUAUUCCUCCUUGAUCCAGUCAGCAGAGAGGAAGAGUUUCCAUGCCAUAGUGGAUAUGGCUCGGAGGAUGGAGGCUAGUGCAAUAAUCGAAGGGAAAGUCAAGCAGUCAGUAGCACAGCCUUCUGGUUCCAAGACCCUAGGUGGGGGAAGGUUAGAUCCUUCUUCUUUGAGUUCAGGUAGUAAGAGGUGGAGCAGUACCACCAAGAAGCCAAAGAAGAAUAAGUUCUAGAACAAGAUCAAGUUAGGUCUGGGAUUAGGAAGUGGCUCGAGCUCAGGUGCAGACAAUGCAACAUGUAUGAAGUGUGGGAAGCCGCAUAAGGGAGUAUGUCGAUUUGGGACGACAGCCUGCUUCAAAUGUGGGCAGGAGGGACACAUGGCACGGGAGUGUCCUAGAGCAGCUUUUGUGGCACAGUCCCAGCAGACAGCUUCUGAAAGUGUGGCUCAGCUAACAGCUCCAGCCGCUACGCAGGCCAGUGGCAGAGGCAGAGGGAGAGGGGCAGCCUCUUCUUCAGCGGGUUUCAGGGGUGAAGGUCCAUCAGCUCCAGCACUUAUCUUCACCAUGACACAGCAGGAGGCAAAUACAUCCAACACUGUGGUGUCAGGUAAUCUCAUCAUUGGUUUUUCAGAUGUUUAUGCCUUAAUGGACCCUGGUGCAUCUCAUUCUUUCAUUGCUCCGAGGGCCGUCGAGAGGUUGGGUUUAAUGGUCUCUAGGUUAGAGUGUCCCCUAUGGGUCAGCGGACCCAAGUGUGACCCGUCAGUGGCAGAUUCAGUCUGCCAAUGUAGUCCAAUUUUUGUUGAGGGGAGAUACCUUUCAGCCGACCUUGUAGUUCUAGAUUUGACAGAUUUUGACGUCAUUCUAGGGAUGGAUUGGCUAUCUACCCAUGGUGCUACCUUGGACUGCAGAGACAAGGUAGUCAGGUUCAGAUGUCAGGAUGGGUCAGAGGUUGUCUUCAGAGGAGAUAGGAGGGGUACACCUAGAGGUUUGAUAUCAGCCCUACAGGCUCGUAGGCUGCUCAGGAGGGGUUGUCAGGGUUUUCUACCUCAUGUGAGAGAGCUGGAUAGUCAUGUCAGAGAGCCCGCCCCAGUGCCCGUGGUCAAAGAGUUUUUAGACGUCUUCCCAGACGAGCUGCCAGGUUUACCACCUGCUAGGGAGAUAGAGUUUGAAAUGGAAUUGAUGCCUGGAACCAGACCGAUCUCUAUCCCUCCCUACAGGAUGGCACCAGCAGAACUGAAGGAGCUUAAGGAGCAGUUGCAAGAGCUAGUAGACAAGGGCUUCAUCCGACCGAGUACCUCAACUUGGGGUGCUCCAGUACUGUUUGUGAAAAAGAAAGAUGGAUCCCUUAGACUUUGUAUCGACUACAUGCAGUUGAACAAAGUCACUACCAAGAAUAAGUACCCAUUGCCGAGGAUCGACGAUCUAUUCGACCAGCUAGCAGGAGCAGGUUGUUUCUCCAAGAUAGAUCUGAGAUCUGGGUACCAUCAGCUGAGGAUAAGAGAAGAGGAUGUGCCGAAGACAGCGUUCAGGACCAGAUAUGGGCACUAUGAGUUCCUUGUAAUGCCGUUCGGGUUAACCAAUGCCCCUGCAGCAUUCAUGGAUCUCAUGAAUAGAGUUUUCAGUCAAUACCUGGAUCACUUUGUUAUUGUCUUCAUAGAUGAUAUCUUAGUGUAUUCCAGGAAUGCAGAGGAGCAUGCCCAUCAUCUGAGGGUAGUCUUGCAGACCUUGAGGGAACACGGCUUGUAUGCCAAGUUCUCCAAGUGUGAGUUCUGGUUGAGGAGCAUCUCAUUCUUGGGGCAUGUUGUGUCAGAAAAUGGAAUCGAGGUGGACCCCAAGAAAGUGGAAGCUGUAGCUAACUGGCCUAGACCCACUACAGUGGCAGAGAUCAAGAGCUUCUUGGGUUUGGCAGGUUACUAUAGGAGAUUCGUUCAAGACUUCUCUAAGAUUGCAGCUCCUAUGACCAGACUGACUAGGAAGAACCAGAGGUUUGUGUGGACCGACCAGUGUGAAAAGAGCUUUGAAGAGCUAAAGAAGAGGUUGAUGUCGGCACCGGUGUUAGCUCUACCAACUAGUAAUGAAGACUUCAUGGUUUUCUGUGAUGCGUCCCGUGUGGGACUGGGUUGUGUACUGAUGCAGAAUGAAAGGGUGAUUGCUUAUGCUUCUAGGCAGCUGAAGAAGCACGAGUUGAAUUACCCUACACAUGACCUAGAGAUGGCAGCUGUGAUCUUUGCACUCAAGAUGUGGAGGCAUUACCUUUAUGGGGUAAAAUGUGAGAUCUUUACAGAUCAUAAGAGCCUGCAAUACAUCUUAAGUCAGAGGGAGUUGAAUAUGAGGCAAAGGAGAUGGGUAGAACUGCUUAGUGACUAUGAUUGCAAGAUUCAGUACUAUCUGGGUAAGGCAAAUGUCAUGGCAGACGCCCUAAGCUGAAAAUCACUUGGCAGUCUAUCUCAUAUUUCAGUAGAGAGGAGGCCAGUGGUGAGGCAGUUCUUCGAGCUCAUUAAUGAAGGUUUGCAGUUGGAGUUGUCUGGUACAGGUGCUUUAAUAGCCCAGAUGAGAGUAACACCUGUGUUUCUGGAGCAGGUGGCUCAGAAACAGCAUGAGGACCCAGAGUUAGUGAAGAUUGCCAAGACUGUUCAGUCAGGCAAGAAUGAAGAGUUCAGAUUUGACAGCAAGGGGAUCCUCCGCUAUGAGAAUAGAUUAUGUGUACCAGAUGACGUGGGUCUGAAGGGAGACAUUAUGAGAGAGGCUCAUAAUGCCAGGUACAGUGUUCACCCUUGAGCCACCAAAAUGUAUCAAGAUCUGAAAAGAGUUUAUUGGUGGCCAUCUAUGAAGAGGGAAGUGGCACAGUUUGUGUCAGCCUGCGAAAUAUGUCAGAGGGUGAAGCUGGAACAUCAGAAGCCGGCUGGAAUGCUUAACCCACUACCGAUUCCAGAGUGGAAAUGGGAGAAUAUUGCUAUAGACUUCGUGGUGGGGUUACCGGCAACGUCUAACAGAUUGGACUCCAUAUGGGUGAUUGUGGACAGACUGUCCAAAUCUGCUCACUUCAUCCCUGUCAGGAGUGGCUAUUCUGUGGACAAAUUGGCGCAGGUGUAUAUUGAUGAGGCUGUCAGAUUGCAUGGGGUUCCUGUUUCAAUAGUGUCUGAUAGAGGACCCCAGUUCACCUCUAGGUUUUGGCAGAGUCUGCAGAAUGCUAUAGGUACCAGUUUGGAUUUUAGCACUGCUUUCCAUCCACAGACUGAUGGACAGUCAGAGAGGACCAUCCAGACUAUAGAAGAUAUGCUCAGAAUGUGUGUGCUGGAUUUUGGCGGUUCUUGGAGGCAGCAUCUACCUUUGGUGGAGUUUGCCUACAAUAACAGCCAUCAUGCUAGCAUAGGGAUGGCCCCAUAUGAAGCUUUGUAUGGAAGGAAGUGCAGGUCGCCUGUCUGUUGGGAAUAAGUUGGAGAAAAGGCCUUAGCAGGGCCUGAGUUAAUAGAGAUCACCAGCAGAGUGGUGCCCAUAAUCAGAGAAAGGAUCAAGACUACCGCGAGCAGACAGAAGAGUUAUGCAGAUAUCCGCAGAAGACAAGUAGAAUUUCAGGAGGGGGAUUUGGUAUUGCUCAAGGUGUCUCCUUUGAAAGGGGUGAUUCGGUUUGGGAAGAAAGGUAAGCUAGCUCCACGAUACAUCGGACCCUUUGAAAUCUUGCAAAAGAUCGGAAAUGUAUCGUAUAAGCUGGAUUUACCUACUUCUAUGGAGAGAAUCCAUCCGGUUUUUCAUGUUUCCAUGUUAAGGAAGUUCGUGUCAGAUCCGGGCAAGGUUCUUAGCGAGCCUGAUGUGGAGAUCCAGGAAGAUCUCACCUAUGUUGAGCAGCCAGUACGGAUCCUAGACACCCAGAUCAGAAAGUUGAGAAACAAGGAAAUCCCGAUGGUGAAAGUCAUUUGGAAUCACCACAACAUCGAGAAGUGUACCUGGGAGACACGGGUGUAAUACCCGGCUAGAAUCCGGCAUCGGAAUUCCUGUCGUCCGGUGGAAUCCGGGGUGUCGGACUUCUAGAGGAGGGUAGGAUUUAUGUGUUUUACUGAUUGAACUAGGUUUUGAGUUGAAAUGACCUAAGGCUGAUGAGCCAAGUUCGGCCGCCGAAGCCAAGUUCGGCCGCCGAAGGUAAGUUUGGCCACCGAAAGUGCUCAAUGUUCGGCUUCCGAAUUCAGGUUCGGCCCCCGAACGUUGCAUGGUUUUGCAUGCGCUUCGGCAGCCGAAGCUGAGUUGCUGAGCCAGCAGUUUUGUAUCCCUUAGUCAGCAUGUUGGACAGGUGUUAUCACCAGAUGAUGUCCAGAAGAUUGGCCACGUCUCCCAUACUUUAUUUGCUGAGUUUGAGCAGCUCAUGCAGAGUGUUUUGAUCGUUCACACGGGUUUGAGUGUUUUGCAGCAAAAAGCUAAGUUUGUGAGAGUUUGAGAGUUUGAGGAGAAUUGGUCCGUUUUCCCUUGUUCAGAGUGUUCAUCUUCCUGUUUACAGAGGUAAGGGAAGAGCUAGAACCUGUUUAUAUGUUCUUUGAAGGUUUUAUGGGGUUAAAGGAAAGAGAUGCAUGCUUAGGGUAGUAAAGGGAGUUUUGAUGAUUUAUGCAUGUAUACAUGUUUCUGUGUUAUGUUUGAUUUGUUGUUUGGGGUUAUUAGAUAGUUUUGGACCCCUGUGAUCAUAUACGUGAGUAUAUGUGUGGUGAGGAGUUUGAGUAUAUAUGUUUUGAGUGGUUGAAGGGAAGGAGAAGAUGGUUUGCCGUUGAAGCUGAGUUCUGGAUGAACUCAGGUUCGGCAGCCGAAGGUUCAUUCGGCCGCCGAACCUCUUGCAUGGUGGCUUAGGCUGCCACAGCUUGCCCCCGCGAGUUUUGCAUGUUCGGCUCUGUUUGGGGACUUCGGCCGCCGAAGGUGCCGCCGAAGGUGCUUGAGUUUCGUCUCUGGAGAGGACAUUCGGCCGCCGAACCUGCCGCCGAAAGUAUUCUGUCCAGCUUUCUUUUGCAUGCUUUACAUGACUAGUUGAGUGAGUUGAAAGGGUUUCUGGGGGAGUGUAAUAGAGGUAUUCAGAAGCUAGUUUGGUCCCUCAUUUUGUUUUUAUCUGUAUCUGUACAGACCAGAGGAACCAGAGAGAGCAGCAGUGAGUACUGCUCUAGAGUGUACAGAACCUGCAAGUCAGUCCAGAGCCAGAGGUGAGUGGAACUAAAUUAAUUACUUGAUUUAAUUCAGACAAUAACUGCUUUUAGCAUAUUUCAUGCAUCAUAUUUAUAUCAUAGGGUGAUUGCAUUAGAAUGCACAAAGAUGUUGCAUUGCAUCGCUUCAUUAUUGGUGUGGGUAAAUGCUGAAUGAUCCAGUAGUUCCAGACAGGAAGACCAGGACCCCAUUCUACGGCCUGGCAGGUAAAGGAAGACCAGGACCCCAUUCUACGGCCUGGCAGGUAAAGGAAGACCAGGACCCCAUUCUACGGCCUGGCGGGUAUAGGCAAGUGGUCGAUACUGGCAAAGAGUAAGUACAGGUGUUAUAUACACAUAUACUUAUAUGGUACAGGAAGUCCAGGACCCCAGUCUACGGCCUGGCACGGAUUACUGGGAUUAUGUGGUGACAGGUUUACUCUUGAUGUGGUUUGUUUGUGUUAUGACGCAUUUCAUGAGAUCAUGUUUUACUGAGAUAUUUUACUGUUCUACUCACUGGGCUAUAGAGCUCAUCCCACUCCCUUAACCCCAGUUUUGCAGGUUCAGUGUACAGUGUACAGGGACAGUCCAGCAGAGUACAGAAAAAGAAAGAGUAAAAGAGCUUGUAAUCGUAUAGAGUGGACAUGUAACUUGUAAAGAGAUGUUAUAGUUGUGUAUAACGUUAGAGUUGUGCUUGACUUAGUGAUGUAUGUGUUGUACAUGAUCUGGAUAUGUAUCU
This 13235-nucleotide long non-coding RNA is filed under the name Manihot esculenta (cassava). RNAcentral's name for it is "long non-coding RNA (MESC_LNC009540)". The record is from RNAcentral. Lineage: Eukaryota; Viridiplantae; Streptophyta; Magnoliopsida; Malpighiales; Euphorbiaceae.